UACUCCUACGGGAGGCAGCAGUGGGGAAUAUUGGACAAUGGGGGGAACCCUGAUCCAGCCAUGCCGCGUGUGUGAAGAAGGCCUUAUGGUUGUAAAGCACUUUAAGCGAGGAGGAGGCUACUGAGACUAAUACUCUUGGAUAGUGGACGUUACUCGCAGAAUAAGCACCGGCUAACUCUGUGCCAGCAGCCGCGGUAAUACAGAGGGUGCGAGCGUUAAUCGGAUUUACUGGGCGUAAAGCGUGCGUAGGCGGCUUUUUAAGUCGGAUGUGAAAUCCCCGAGCUUAACUUGGGAAUUGCAUUCGAUACUGGGAAGCUAGAGUAUGGGAGAGGAUGGUAGAAUUCCAGGUGUAGCGGUGAAAUGCGUAGAGAUCUGGAGGAAUACCGAUGGCGAAGGCAGCCAUCUGGCCUAAUACUGACGCUGAGGUACGAAAGCAUGGGAAGCAAACAGGAUUAGAUACCCUGGUAGUCCAUGCCGUAAACGAUGUCUACUAGCCGUUGGGGCCUUUGAGGCUUUAGUGGCGCAGCUAACGCGAUAAGUAGACCGCCUGGGGAGUACGGUCGCAAGACUAAAACUCAAAUGAAUUGACGGGGGCCCCCACAAGCGGUGGAGCAUGUGGA
This 620-nucleotide ribosomal RNA is filed under the name uncultured bacterium. RNAcentral describes it as "bacterial SSU rRNA". It matches the Rfam family "Bacterial small subunit ribosomal RNA", at positions 334 to 945 of the family's 1533-position model. The record is from RNAcentral.